AAUUUAAGCAUAUCAAUAAGCGGAGGAAAGGAAACUAACUAGGAUUCCCCCAGUAACGGCGAGUGAAGAGGGAAGAGCCCAGCGCCGAAUCACACGGUCCCAGCGGCCGGCGUGAACUGUGGCGUGCGGGACCGCUUUUAAGCGGAUGCAGGCGGCGCCGGAGUCCUCCUGAUCGAGGCUUCCCAGAGCGGGUGUCAGGCCCAUGCGGCGUCAGCCGGCUUCGGCUUUGCGGUUCCCCGGAGUCGGGUUGUUUGGGAAUGCAGCCCGAAGCGGGUGGUAAGCUCCAUCUAAGGCUAAGUACAGGCACGAGACCGAUAGCGGACAAGUACCUUGAGGGAAAGUUGAAAAGAACUUUGAAGAG
This 361-nucleotide ribosomal RNA is filed under the name Disporella hispida. RNAcentral's name for it is "eukaryotic LSU rRNA". It matches the Rfam family "Eukaryotic large subunit ribosomal RNA", at positions 31 to 383 of the family's 3401-position model. Lineage: Eukaryota; Metazoa; Bryozoa; Stenolaemata; Cyclostomatida; Lichenoporidae. The record is from RNAcentral.